GUCUGCGUGGAGCCGACCUUGAAAUACCACCCUUUAAUGUUUGAUGUUCUAACGUGGACCCGUAAUCCGGGUUGCGGACAGUGUCUGGUGGGUAGUUUGACUGGGGCGGUCUCCUCCUAAAGAGUAACGGAGGAGCACGAAGGUUGGCUAAUCCUGGUCGGACAUCAGGAGGUUAGUGCAAUGGCAUAAGCCAGCUUGACUGCGAGCGUGACGGCGCGAGCAGGUGCGAAAGCAGGUCAUAGUGAUCCGGUGGUUCUGAAUGGAAGGGCCAUCGCUCAACGGAUAAAAGGUACUCCGGGGAUAACAGGCUGAUACCGCCCAAGAGUUCAUAUCGACGGCGGUGUUUGGCACCUCGAUGUCGGCUCAUCACAUCCUGGGGCUGAAGUAGGUCCCAAGGGUAUGGCUGUUCGCCAUUUAAAGUGGUACGCGAGCUGGGUUUAGAACGUCGUGAGACAGUUCGGUCCCUAUCUGCCGUGGGCGCUGGAGAACUGAGGGGGGCUGCUCCUAGUACGAGAGGACCGGAGUGGACGCAUCACUGGUGUUCGGGUUGUCAUGCCAAUGGCACUGCCCGGUAGCUAAAUGCGGAAGAGAUAAGUGCUGAAAGCAUCUAAGCACGAAACUUGCCCCGAG
Molecule: ribosomal RNA, 630 nt
Filed under: Salmonella enterica subsp. enterica serovar Infantis
Lineage: Bacteria; Pseudomonadati; Pseudomonadota; Gammaproteobacteria; Enterobacterales; Enterobacteriaceae
Also listed under: 4 other names
Description: partial 23S ribosomal RNA
Rfam family: Bacterial large subunit ribosomal RNA
Source: RNAcentral